Molecule: long non-coding RNA, 949 nt
Organism: Morone saxatilis (striped sea-bass)
Lineage: Eukaryota; Metazoa; Chordata; Actinopteri; Moronidae
Exons: 2
Source: RefSeq, a predicted model, not a curated record
CUGUAAGCGCGCGCUAAUGUCUGGUUUUAAUGACUCGGCGCCUUUGCGUCAUUUCCGUAUCCUCGUCGUCACGUCCCAACCGCACAGUGGUCGCUGUUGGCGGCCAUAUUGGAGAGGGCAAUCUGCAACUACGAUCCACGUUGUUUUGAUCCAAUCAAAGUUCAGGACAACCACUGAAGAAGAACUGGUGUCAAACAACGCGCCAGUUGGCAAAAAUGAUACCGAAGAAAGUACUAACUAUCGAAACUACGAGGUGAUCAACAAAAAACGAAUUGCAGUUUGCAAAACAUGCGGGUCGAAGAUUACAGACUUUGUUCGACAUCUGAAGUUGCACAAAGAACGGUAAGUAAAAGCUAACGCUAGCUUAUCGACUAAGUAAUUUUACUAUCUGCAUAGUUAAAUCAAUGAGACUGUAAACUCAGUGUUAACGUAACAUUGCAAACACGGUCACCUGAGUCCACUGCGGGUUCACUCACACACUCAUACUUUUGUUAUAAAGAGAUAGUUCAUGCAAAAGUGAGAUGUCCACUGCAUCUACCUCGUCUGCAUGUUUUGCAACACAUGCAGGCUGUAAAAACACAAGUUCUUUGUUUUUUUUCUCUGCAGGCCACAAUAUUUCUUCUUCCCCCUGUAAUAAAUAAUGUAUGCAAAAAUAAUUGUACAAAAGGACACAGUGACCUUUCAAAAUUAACGUUUGUUUUAUUGAUCAAUGAGUGCUUACACACAGCGUCACUAAACACACAAUCAUGUCCCCAGUUUGUUGCACAGACACACGUAUAAACAGAUGGUAUUACUAUUUCACCCUGAGUAUAUAUAUUGAUUCAGGCCACUUAAGAACAGGGUCAUUUGACACACUUGGCGAAUGUCACAAGAUCUUAUAAAAGAGCAGAAAAACUUUCUCGCCGGAAACCAAUCUGAGGUGUUCAGGAAUGUCAGACAAGAAAAAAAA